Molecule: ribosomal RNA, 253 nt
Filed under: uncultured bacterium
Lineage: Bacteria
Description: partial 16S ribosomal RNA
Rfam family: Bacterial small subunit ribosomal RNA
Source: RNAcentral
UACGAAGGGGGCUAGCGUUGCUCGGAAUCACUGGGCGUAAAGCGCACGUAGGCGGACUCUUAAGUCGGGGGUGAAAUCCUGGAGCUCAACUCCAGAACUGCCUUCGAUACUGGGAGUCUUGAGUUCGGGAGAGGUGAGUGGAACUGCGAGUGUAGAGGUGAAAUUCGUAGAUAUUCGGAAGAACACCAGUGGCGAAGGCGGCUCACUGGUCCGGUACUGACGCUGAGGUGCGAAAGCGUGGGGAGCAAACAGG